This 253-nucleotide ribosomal RNA is filed under the name uncultured bacterium. RNAcentral describes it as "partial 16S ribosomal RNA". It matches the Rfam family "Bacterial small subunit ribosomal RNA", at positions 524 to 776 of the family's 1533-position model. The record is from RNAcentral.
UACGGGGGGGGCAAGCGUUGUUCGGAAUUACUGGGCGUAAAGGGCUCGUAGGCGGCCAACUAAGUCAUACGUGAAAUCCCUCGGCUUAACCGGGGAACUGCGUCUGAUACUGGAUGGCUUGAGUUCGGGAGAGGGAUGCGGAAUUCCAGGUGUAGCGGUGAAAUGCGUAGAUAUCAGGAGGAACACCGGUGGCGAAGGCGCACAUCUGGCCCGAUACUGACGCUGAGGCGCGAAAGCUAGGGGAGCAAACGGG